AGGACGAACGCUGGCGGCGUGCUUAACACAUGCAAGUCGAGGGGUCUCCGCAAGGAGGCACCGGCGAACGGGUGCGUAACACGUGAGCGACCUGCCGUACCUGUGGGGGAUAGCCGGCCCAACGGCCGGGUAAUACCGCAUACGCUCGUUUUGGGGCAUCCCGAGGCGAAGAAAGCUCGUAAGAGCGCAGGACGAGGGGCUCGCGGCCUAUCAGCUAGUUGGCGGGGUAAUGGCCCACCAAGGCGACGACGGGUAGC
Molecule: ribosomal RNA, 257 nt
Filed under: uncultured bacterium
Lineage: Bacteria
Description: partial small subunit ribosomal RNA
Rfam family: Bacterial small subunit ribosomal RNA
Source: RNAcentral